This is a long non-coding RNA of Pseudoliparis swirei, 936 nucleotides long. RefSeq lists it as uncharacterized. Lineage: Eukaryota; Metazoa; Chordata; Actinopteri; Perciformes; Liparidae. The record is from RefSeq and is a predicted model, not a curated record. The transcript has 2 exons.
UCAUGCUGAAGUCGGCAUAUUUCUUAAUGUAAAGGUGCAGUUGUAUUUUAGUCCCUUUAAAAUAAAGAAUUAUAACGAUGAUAUCUUGAGUUUCAUUCAUAAAAUGUUUUAAAUACACAUUUUGAAAAUAAACUUUAAAUGUGGAGCGAAGGUGUCACGCUCCGGACUUUCACCCCGGAGACCGGUGUGCGUGUCCUUCAGCAAGUCAACUGAUCCCAGACCUGCACCUUUAUUAUACAAUAUAACAAUAUAAGACUAUAACACUAUAACAUUAUAACAAUAUAGCAAUAUAACAAUAUAACAUAACAAUAUAAGACUAUAACAAUAUAGCAAUAUACAAAUAUAAUAAUAUAGCCGUAGUUAUAUACUUAGUUCUAGUUUCCUCCUCAGAGUCCUGGCGGCGGACGAGUCAGGGGAACCGGAACCUUUCCCCUGGUGCAUGCUGGGAUAUCCCGUGGCCUCAAGCUCCACCCACAACCCUGAAGAGGAACACGGCGGUGCAGAACUUUGAUGACGGAGGACUCUGGCCCAAAAGUUCUUUCAGCGUCCGUUAUUUAUUGUAAUGUCAUUAUCAAUCAUGCAGAUAAUAAACGUACUCGUACGGCGUGCUGUGAUUGGCCGAGGUGUUUACGUUAAAGAAGAGCCCGGUGACCUCUGGUGACCUCUGGGACCUCCGAAGUUACCCCCUCGGCAUGGCGGCCGAACACGAACCUCCUCCCGCGCCGCCCGGUGGAACCUCUUGGUAGUGCAGAAUUCAGAAAGACUUCAAAGAUGGAGGCGGUCGUGGAGAUACUCUGUUGCCUUCCUGUGCCGCCCCCUGGUGGCUCUGUGGCGCGUGUGAGUGUGCUUGUGUGUGUGUUCGCGUGUGUGUGUGUGUGUGUUGGACUUUUUUCCUCCAUUAAAAUUCGGAAUAAAAAAUGGUCGUCCCUCCCCUGA